RNAcentral lists this long non-coding RNA (231 nucleotides) under Elaeis guineensis (African oil palm). RNAcentral's name for it is "long non-coding RNA (EGUI_LNC066398)". Lineage: Eukaryota; Viridiplantae; Streptophyta; Magnoliopsida; Arecales; Arecaceae. The record is from RNAcentral.
AAUACCUCUAGGAUAACUAGAUUACCCUGUAGAUGAUCGCAGCAAUGCCCGAGGUUCAAAAAUAGCCACGCAGUCACUUGGCCUCUAUCGAUAUCCACUCGAGCAGGAUCUGGAUCAUCUUCUCCUUACAAAUUUUUUCUCCAAAAAUCAGAUCUAGAUCUGAUCUGAAAGAUCUUCAAAAGAUCUUCUAAAGCUGGAGUAGAAGCUUCUCGAUAAAUUCCUACAGCCUUC